Gallus gallus (chicken) is the source of this 808-nucleotide long non-coding RNA. The record is from Ensembl. NCBI's taxonomy places the organism in Eukaryota, Metazoa, Chordata, Aves, Galliformes, Phasianidae.
AGGUCUCCAGGCUCGGUGGAGCUGUCUGGCAUUGUGCAGAGGGCUCAUCGCAGGGAGACACUGCCGAGGGAAGGGCUCUGCAGCCUGUCAAGAUGUUGCUUUUCUGAGAAAUUCAGGAGGGAAAUCUCUGCCCCCAGCUAUUCAUUGCUUCUCAUGCACAGCAGGAUCAGAUCCUCAGUCUGCCUACAAGAACAGUGAGAGCCAUGGGCUCCCUCUGGAGUCACCUUGUUGCUUUUCACGCAUUGCUUCGCCCACACGAAGGAGCCCAGUCCCUAAGUUUUGCCUAGGGCCAACAUUGCCAACUUUGGCUUCACUUGUGGAUAUCAAAUGAGCGAAAACCCAAACCGAGUGUCCCUGGCUACACAAGGGAGGAACCAGACUGCAGGAUCUGCCAGGACUUCCUUUGCUUCCCUUGUGUCUGAAAGAGUGAAGGCCAAUGAACCCAAGCCAAUCACUUUCCCCUUUGGUCAGUUUUAUAGCAUUGCCCCUGCCUUCUGUUUCUAAGAAGUUACAUGAGCUGGGGGCUGCCUGUGUUCUGGUGUGUUGCUCAGCCUGAGCAGACCUGGUUUGAGCCUGUAGCUGGCCCAUGUCAAACAAGAGUGAUGUCAUAAGUUCCUCAGCUCCUGGUGUACGUGUUAAUUUCUACCUCAAAGAGCCACCAAAUCCUCGACAACGUUGAAAGCUGUGCUGAAAUCCCAGAAGAUCACAUCUAUUGGUCCUCUUGGUCAACAAGGCAGGGCUCCGGGGGUCCCAGGGUCCAUCAUCAGUGUUAAAGACAGAAUGAAAGAAGGCAUUAACUCUCUCUGUU